GAUGAACGCUAGCUACAGGCUUAACACAUGCAAGUCGAGGGGAAACGGCAUUGAGUGCUUGCACUCCUUGGACGUCGACCGGCGCACGGGUGAGUAACGCGUAUCCAACCUUCCCAUUACUGUGGGAUAACCUGCCGAAAGGCAGACUAAUACCGCAUAGUCUUCGAUGACGGCAUCAGAUUUGAAGUAAAGAUUUAUCGGUAAUGGAUGGGGAUGCGUCUGAUUAGCUUGUUGGUGGGGUAACGGCCCACCAAGGCAACGAUCAGUAGGGGUUCUGAGAGGAAGGUCCCCCACAUUGGAACUGAGACACGGUCCAAACUCCUACGGGAGGCAGCAGUGAGGAAUAUUGGUCAAUGGACGGAAGUCUGAACCAGCCAAGUAGCGUGCAGGAUGACGGCCCUAUGGGUUGUAAACUGCUUUUGUAUGGGGAUAAAGUUAGGGACGUGUCCCUAUUUGCAGGUACCAUACGAAUAAGGACCGGCUAAUUCCGUGCCAGCAGCCGCGGUAAUACGGAAGGUCCAGGCGUUAUCCGGAUUUAUUGGGUUUAAAGGGAGCGUAGGCUGGAGAUUAAGUGUGUUGUGAAAUGUAGACGCUCAACGUCUGAAUUGCAGCGCAUACUGGUUUCCUUGAGUACGCACAACGUUGGCGGAAUUCGUCGUGUAGCGGUGAAAUGCUUAGAUAUGACGAAGAACUCCGAUUGCGAAGGCAGCUGACGGGAGCGCAACUGACGCUUAAGCUCGAAGGUGCGGGUAUCAAACAGG
RNAcentral lists this ribosomal RNA (761 nucleotides) under Prevotella melaninogenica. Its description in RNAcentral is "bacterial SSU rRNA". It matches the Rfam family "Bacterial small subunit ribosomal RNA", at positions 28 to 776 of the family's 1533-position model. The record is from RNAcentral. Lineage: Bacteria; Pseudomonadati; Bacteroidota; Bacteroidia; Bacteroidales; Prevotellaceae.